CCUACGGGUGGCAGCAGUGGGGAAUAUUGGGCAAUGGAGGCAACUCUGACCCAGCAACGCCGCGUGAAUGAUGAAGGUCUUCGGAUUGUAAAGUUCUGUGAUGGGGGAUGAACACAAUGACGGUACCCCAAUAGCAAGCCACGGCUAACUACGUGCCAGCAGCCGCGGUAAUACGUAGGUGGCAAGCGUUAUCCGGAUUUACUGGGUGUAAAGGGAGCGUAGACGGCAAGGCAAGCCAGAAGUGAAAGGGCAGGGCUCAACCCUGUACAUGCUUUUGGAACUGUGGUGCUAGAGUGCAGGAGAGGUAAGUGGAAUUCCUAGUGUAGCGGUGAAAUGCGUAGAUAUUAGGAGGAACACCAGUGGCGAAGGCGGCUUACUGGACUGUAACUGACGUUGAGGCUCGAAAGCGUGGGGAGCAAACAGGAUUAGAUACCCCUGUAGUC
This 443-nucleotide ribosomal RNA is filed under the name uncultured bacterium. Its description in RNAcentral is "partial 16S ribosomal RNA". It matches the Rfam family "Bacterial small subunit ribosomal RNA", at positions 338 to 795 of the family's 1533-position model. The record is from RNAcentral.